Molecule: ribosomal RNA, 497 nt
Filed under: uncultured bacterium
Lineage: Bacteria
Description: partial 16S ribosomal RNA
Rfam family: Bacterial small subunit ribosomal RNA
Source: RNAcentral
GAUGAACGCUGGCGGCGUGCCUAAUACAUGCAAGUCGAGCGAACAGACGAGGAGCUUGCUCCUCUGACGUUAGCGGCGGACGGGUGAGUAACACGUGGAUAACCUACCUAUAAGACUGGGAUAACUUCGGGAAACCGGAGCUAAUACCGGAUAAUAUAUUGAACCGCAUGGUUCAAUAGUGAAAGACGGUUUUGCUGUCACUUAUAGAUGGAUCCGCGCCGCAUUAGCUAGUUGGUAAGGUAACGGCUUACCAAGGCAACGAUGCGUAGCCGACCUGAGAGGGUGAUCGGCCACACUGGAACUGAGACACGGUCCAGACUCCUACGGGAGGCAGCAGUAGGGAAUCUUCCGCAAUGGGCGAAAGCUUGACGGAGCAACGCCGCGUGAGUGAUGAAGGUCUUCGGAUCGUAAAACUCUGUUAUUAGGGAAGAACAAAUGUGUAAGUAACUAUGCACGUCUUGACGGUACCUAAUCAGAAAGCCACGACUAACUACGUG